RNAcentral lists this small RNA (96 nucleotides) under Arabidopsis thaliana (thale cress). RNAcentral's name for it is "ATSL187140". Lineage: Eukaryota; Viridiplantae; Streptophyta; Magnoliopsida; Brassicales; Brassicaceae. The record is from RNAcentral.
CCUUUCUGCGCCGUGUGUCUACAAGAGGCGGAGGAAGGAGAGAAGAUGAGGCGAUUGACGAUUUGCCGUCACUGUUUCCACGCGGAUUGCAUAGAU